UACAGAGGUCUCAAGCGUUGUUCGGAUUCAUUGGGCGUAAAGGGUGUGUAGGUGGCGCGCUAAGUCGGGUGUGAAAUUUCGGAGCUUAACUCCGAAACUGCAUUCGAUACUGGCGUGCUUGAGGACUGGAGAGGAGACUGGAAUUUACGGUGUAGCAGUGAAAUGCGUAGAGAUCGUAAGGAAGACCAGUGGCGAAGGCGGGUCUCUGGACAGUUCCUGACACUGAGGCACGAAAGCGUGGGGAGCAAACAGG
RNAcentral lists this ribosomal RNA (253 nucleotides) under uncultured bacterium. RNAcentral describes it as "partial 16S ribosomal RNA". It matches the Rfam family "Bacterial small subunit ribosomal RNA", at positions 524 to 776 of the family's 1533-position model. The record is from RNAcentral.